This 484-nucleotide ribosomal RNA is filed under the name uncultured bacterium. Its description in RNAcentral is "partial 16S ribosomal RNA". It matches the Rfam family "Bacterial small subunit ribosomal RNA", at positions 30 to 507 of the family's 1533-position model. The record is from RNAcentral.
AUUGAACGCUAGCGGGAUGCUUUACACAUGCAAGUCGAACGGCAGCGCGGACUUCGGUCUGGCGGCGAGUGGCGAACGGGUGAGUAAUGUAUCGGAACGUGCCCAGUAGCGGGGGAUAACUACGCGAAAGCGUAGCUAAUACCGCAUACGCCCUACGGGGGAAAGCAGGGGAUCGUAAGACCUUGUACUAUUGGAGCGGCCGAUAUCGGAUUAGCUAGUUGGUGAGGUAACGGCUCACCAAGGCGACGAUCCGUAGCUGGUUUGAGAGGACGACCAGCCACACUGGGACUGAGACACGGCCCAGACUCCUACGGGAGGCAGCAGUGGGGAAUUUUGGACAAUGGGGGCAACCCUGAUCCAGCCAUCCCGCGUGUGCGAUGAAGGCCUUCGGGUUGUAAAGCACUUUUGGCAGGAAAGAAACGUCGCGGGCUAAUACCCCGUGGAACUGACGGUACCUGCAGAAUAAGCACCGGCUAACUACGUG